This 321-nucleotide ribosomal RNA is filed under the name Triticum aestivum (bread wheat). RNAcentral describes it as "partial small subunit ribosomal RNA". Lineage: Eukaryota; Viridiplantae; Streptophyta; Magnoliopsida; Poales; Poaceae. The record is from RNAcentral.
AUGACGCUCCUAAGUUGGAACUGUCGAGGCCUCGGGCAACCUCGCACAGUUCAAGAGCUCGUGUGUCUCGUGCACACAUACAAGCCCAAGCUCGUCUUCCUCUCCGAAACUCAGCAAAACAAUAAGUAUGUCAAAAACUUAAAGUGGAGGCUAGGCAUUCGUCACUGUAUCGCGCAACCCGGCAUUGGGAAAGGUGUCGGCAUUGCCCUAUUUUAUGAUGAAAAUAUUGAAUGGCGUGCAACUUUUGUGUACGGGAAACCGAAGGCCCACGAAUGACACCACAUGUGGACAUUGUUACGGAGGAUAAAGGACACAGCUAAU